This is a long non-coding RNA of Fundulus heteroclitus (mummichog), 2282 nucleotides long. RefSeq lists it as uncharacterized. Lineage: Eukaryota; Metazoa; Chordata; Actinopteri; Cyprinodontiformes; Fundulidae. The record is from RefSeq and is a predicted model, not a curated record. The transcript has 7 exons.
AGGGGGAGAAAGAAUUGCUAAGAUCUAUGGAGAACUGUCAACAGAGCCUGCUACAACCGGUGUUCUCUCCAACUAUGGAAGAUGCAACGUCUGGGUUCCUGCUCUUCCUCCCACCUGACCCGCCACACGUCACUCUGUUCUAUGACAGGAACCACACAGACUGGUAUCAAGAUUCUUUAAGGUAAAACACAAACAGCCAUUUCUAGGAAUAUGUAUUUGGCAUCAGAGUGUUUGGCAGCUGCUACUUCUGAACAAUUUAUAACGAUAUAUGAUGUCAGAUGAAAGAUUUUACAUAUUUCUCCUUCUCUCCAUGUUGAGCACCAGGUAAAAGAAUUAGGGGCAUGGUUAAACGUUCCCUUCAGGACACUGAUUGGGAUCCUACCAGCGUGCAGAACGUACUGAUCAUCAUUAAGCAGCAGAAGGUCCACGGACGAACAACCAAUGUGUCCUCCAGCAACAAGCAAAUCGUUCUAACAAACCCAAUCUGCGGCGCGUGAAUGACACGUUAUCGUGUUGGGACUAAAUGGCUGCUGUUACAACUACAUUGUGGGUACGUUGAUCUCACGCAACCUUUGAGGGACCUCGUGAAGAUAUCAGAGAAGAAACAGGGUCUGCCGUUGUGACCUGAGGGGGAGAAAGAAUUGCUAAGAUCUAUGGAGAACUGUCAACAGAGCCUGCUACAACCGGUGUUCUCUCCAACUAUGGAAGAUGCAACGUCUGGGUUCCUGCUCUUCCUCCCACCUGACCCGCCACACGUCACUCUGUUCUAUGACAGGAACCACACAGACUGGUAUCAAGAUUCUUUAAGGUAAAACACAAACAGCCAUUUCUAGGAAUAUGUAUUUGGCAUCAGAGUGUUUGGCAGCUGCUACUUCUGAACAAUUUAUAACGAUAUAUGAUGUCAGAUGAAAGAUUUUACAUAUUUCUCCUUCUCUCCAUGUUGAGCACCAGGUAAAAGAAUUAGGGGCAUGGUUAAACGUUCCCUUCAGGACACUGAUUGGGAUCCUACCAGCGUGCAGAACGUACUGAUCAUCAUUAAGCAGCAGAAGGUCCACGGACGAACAACCAAUGUGUCCUCCAGCAACAAGCAAAUCGUUCUAACAAACCCAAUCUGCGGCGCGUGAAUGACACGUUAUCGUGUUGGGACUAAAUGGCUGCUGUUACAACUACAUUGUGGGUACGUUGAUCUCACGCAACCUUUGAGGGACCUCGUGAAGAUAUCAGAGAAGAAACAGGGUCUGCCGUUGUGACCUGAGGGGGAGAAAGAAUUGCUAAGAUCUAUGGAGAACUGUCAACAGAGCCUGCUACAACCGGUGUUCUCUCCAACUAUGGAAGAUGCAACGUCUGGGUUCCUGCUCUUCCUCCCACCUGACCCGCCACACGUCACUCUGUUCUAUGACAGGAACCACACAGACUGGUAUCAAGAUUCUUUAAGGUAAAACACAAACAGCCAUUUCUAGGAAUAUGUAUUUGGCAUCAGAGUGUUUGGCAGCUGCUACUUCUGAACAAUUUAUAACGAUAUAUGAUGUCAGAUGAAAGAUUUUACAUAUUUCUCCUUCUCUCCAUGUUGAGCACCAGGUAAAAGAAUUAGGGGCAUGGUUAAACGUUCCCUUCAGGACACUGAUUGGGAUCCUACCAGCGUGCAGAACGUACUGAUCAUCAUUAAGCAGCAGAAGGUCCACGGACGAACAACCAAUGUGUCCUCCAGCAACAAGCAAAUCGUUCUAACAAACCCAAUCUGCGGCGCGUGAAUGACACGUUAUCGUGUUGGGACUAAAUGGCUGCUGUUACAACUACAUUGUGGGUACGUUGAUCUCACGCAACCUUUGAGGGACCUCGUGAAGAUAUCAGAGAAGAAACAGGGUCUGCCGUUGUGACCUGAGGGGGAGAAAGAAUUGCUAAGAUCUAUGGAGAACUGUCAACAGAGCCUGCUACAACCGGUGUUCUCUCCAACUAUGGAAGAUGCAACGUCUGGGUUCCUGCUCUUCCUCCCACCUGACCCGCCACACGUCACUCUGUUCUAUGACAGGAACCACACAGACUGGUAUCAAGAUUCUUUAAGGUAAAACACAAACAGCCAUUUCUAGGAAUAUGUAUUUGGCAUCAGAGUGUUUGGCAGCUGCUACUUCUGAACAAUUUAUAACGAUAUAUGAUGUCAGAUGAAAGAUUUUACAUAUUUCUCCUUCUCUCCAUGUUGAGCACCAGGUAAAAGAAUUAGGGGCAUGGUUAAACAUUCCCUUCAGGACACUGAUUGGGAUCCUACCAGCGUGCAGGUUUGCUGU